RNAcentral lists this ribosomal RNA (494 nucleotides) under uncultured bacterium. Its description in RNAcentral is "bacterial SSU rRNA". It matches the Rfam family "Bacterial small subunit ribosomal RNA", at positions 28 to 507 of the family's 1533-position model. The record is from RNAcentral.
GAUGAACGCUAGCUACAGGCUUAACACAUGCAAGUCGAGGGGAAACGAUAGAGAAAGCUUGCUUUUUCUAGGCGUCGACCGGCGCACGGGUGAGUAACGCGUAUCCAACCUGCCCUUCACCACGGAAUAAUCCAGUGAAAAUUGGUCUAAUACCGUAUGAGGUCAUACGAUGGCAUCAGAAUAUGACGAAAGGUUUAGCGGUGAAGGAUGGGGAUGCGUCUGAUUAGCUUGUUGGUGAGGUAACGGCUCACCAAGGCGACGAUCAGUAGGGGUUCUGAGAGGAAGGUCCCCCACAUUGGAACUGAGACACGGUCCAAAACUCCUACGGGAGGCAGCAGUGAGGAAUAUUGGUCAAUGGGCGAGAGCCUGAACCAGCCAAGUAGCGUGCAGGAUGACGGCCCUAUGGGUUGUAAACUGCUUUUAUAAGGGAAUAAAGUUAGGGAUGGUAUCCUUUUUGCAGGUACCGCAUGAAUAAGGACCGGCGUAAUUCCGUG